AGGAAAACUGGAACUUCAGGUAGACAACAAAAAAAUGUUUAGUGUAAGUAUGUCCCAGACAACAUUUAGGACAUACUUAUACUAAAAAAUGUUUAUCUGAAUUUAAAUUGAACUGAA
This 117-nucleotide microRNA precursor is filed under the name Ovis aries (sheep). Its description in RNAcentral is "miRNA (ENSOARG00000024587.1)". The stretch from base 36 to 87 matches the Rfam family "mir-1302 microRNA precursor family". Lineage: Eukaryota; Metazoa; Chordata; Mammalia; Artiodactyla; Bovidae. The record is from RNAcentral.